UGCAGGUGCCCUGUGGCUGGUUAUUCAUGUGUGACUCCCUGAGUUUGAGAUAGCCUCUCAAGGCACAAUUCGUUCUUUAUCUUCUUUUAAAGCCUUGAUGCAUGGUGCAUGUUCCAUAUUGGUAGUCUGCAGAUGGUGAGGUAUAAGCAAGAAUUGGAUGAUUUCCCCAUUAACUGGCCCGUCUUUUUGUAUUGUCCCUUUUUGACAUCCUAGGUGAGUGUCAUUAAUUUCUGUCCACUCUGGCUACAGAAAGGUCCAGUUUAAAGCUUUAGCUCAGUCCUACUCUGCCCAGCACAGACCUGACCCUUGCCCUGGGAGGUCUGAGGGGGAGGGAGCUUGGUCUACCCUGAAGAUGCUUCCUCUUCCUCUUUUUCCUCUCUUCUUCGGGACACUACAGGGAGUACCUUUGUCUUCAUGGCUGCCCUGGGAGACAAGCAUCCCCUGAAGACACUUGUUUUUGGCCUCUGCUGCUGCUCUGCUUCUAUCUGGUGGAUUAAGGAAAACCAGAGCUCACAGCCCUGGUGGAAAGUUACAACUGGGAUUCAAGUUCACAAAGAGCAGAAGACACAGCCAAUGGCUCCUGGCUUCACUAUUCACCCAGCCCAGGCCACUAGCGGUCCUGUAAUUAAUUGUCUUCUUCUGUGACAUAUUGCUGCCCCAGAAAUAGCCAUCUGGGUGUACCCCACAUUAAACAAGACCAUUCUGUGAAAACUGAGACUUGUUGAAAUGACAAAUGAGAGACCAUCAUUUAAUUAACC
RNAcentral lists this long non-coding RNA (758 nucleotides) under Fukomys damarensis (Damara mole-rat). RNAcentral's name for it is "lncRNA (ENSFDAG00000025023.1)". Lineage: Eukaryota; Metazoa; Chordata; Mammalia; Rodentia; Bathyergidae. The record is from RNAcentral.